GAUGAACGCUGGCGGCGUGCCUAAUACAUGCAAGUCGAGCGAACGGACGCGAAGCUUGCUUCUCUGAUGUUAGCGGCGGACGGGUGAGUAACGCGUGUAUAACCUACCUAUAAUACUGGGAUAACUUCGGGAAACCGGAGCUAAUACCGUAUAAUAUUUUGAACCGCAUUGUUCAAAGGUGAGAGACGGUCUUGCUGUCAGUUAUAGCUGGAUCCGCGCUUCAUUAUCUAGUUGGUAAGGUAACGGCUUACCAAGGCAACGAUGCAUAGCCGACGUGAGAGCGUGAUGGGCGACUCUGAAAGUGACAGGCGGCACAGAGUCCUACGUGCGGCAGAAGUAGCGACUGGUCCGAGAAGGGCGAAAUCCUGCCGGAGCAACGCCGCGUGGGUGAUGAAGCGCUGCGGAUCGUAAAACUCUGUUAUUGGGGAAGAACACAUGUGUAUGUAACUGUGCACAUCUUGACGGUACCUAAACAGAAAGCCCCGGCUAACUCCGU
This 496-nucleotide ribosomal RNA is filed under the name uncultured bacterium. RNAcentral describes it as "partial 16S ribosomal RNA". It matches the Rfam family "Bacterial small subunit ribosomal RNA", at positions 28 to 506 of the family's 1533-position model. The record is from RNAcentral.